Molecule: microRNA, 23 nt
Filed under: Ananas comosus (pineapple)
Lineage: Eukaryota; Viridiplantae; Streptophyta; Magnoliopsida; Poales; Bromeliaceae
Description: microRNA s0042_c033
Source: RNAcentral
AUCAGCGGUCUUUGAGGGGACCU